GCAGUAUAAGGGGGGUACAGAAUAAAGAAGGGAAGGUGGGGAAGGAUGUAGGCAACGUUGUUUACACGUAAAUUGUUUUCGUCUCGGAUAUGUACAGUAUAUGUUUCACAUUUCACAUCAUGUGUUCCACAUUUCAAAUGCUAGCGUAUACAAUAUUACCCAUUACACUUUAAACGGUCAUGUUUUCCCAAUCCGUAUUUGCUGCCUGUCUCUGAGUCGCAGGUGUGGUAUGGAGUACUGGUCGUA
Pelobates cultripes (western spadefoot toad) is the source of this 246-nucleotide non-coding RNA. NCBI's taxonomy places the organism in Eukaryota, Metazoa, Chordata, Amphibia, Anura, Pelobatidae. The record is from the annotation of a GenBank genome assembly.